This 253-nucleotide ribosomal RNA is filed under the name uncultured bacterium. Its description in RNAcentral is "partial 16S ribosomal RNA". It matches the Rfam family "Bacterial small subunit ribosomal RNA", at positions 524 to 776 of the family's 1533-position model. The record is from RNAcentral.
UACGUGGGGUGCAAGCGUUGUUCGGAAUUACUGGGCGUAAAGGGCUCGUAGGCGGCCAACUAAGUCAGACGUGAAAUCCCUCGGCUUAACCGGGGAACUGCGUCUGAUACUGGAUGGCUUGAAUCCGGGAGAGGGAUGCGGAAUUCCAGGUGUAGCGGUGAAAUGCGUAGAUAUCUGGAGGAACACCGGUGGCGAAGGCGGCAUCCUGGACCGGCAUUGACGCUGGGGAGCGAAAGCCAGGGGAGCAAACGGG